UCUGAAAGAAGAUCAAAAAGCUGUGCUAUACAAAAUUCUUCAAAGAGGUGUCUAUUGCUCUCAGGGUUAUGCUGGAGAAGCAGGACCUCAAGGAGUCAAAGGCAGGAAAGGAGAGAAGGGAAACAAAGGACAUGUUGGCCUGAUUGGAAUGACUGGAUUUAUUGGACCGCUUGGACCUAGAGGACAGCGAGGGUUUAUGGGACCACCUGGUUUUCCUGGAGAGCCAGGAGGGCCGGGGUUUGCAGGACCUCCAGGUCCAACAGGGCGUGCAGGACCUAGAGGGGCAAAAGGAGUGACUGGC
Long non-coding RNA from Pygocentrus nattereri (red-bellied piranha), 301 nucleotides. NCBI's taxonomy places the organism in Eukaryota, Metazoa, Chordata, Actinopteri, Characiformes, Serrasalmidae. The record is from Ensembl.